GCCAAGUACUCUGGCUGGUAUGUGGGCUUCACAAAGAAGGGGCGGCCUCGCAAGGGCCCCAAGACCCGGGAGAACCAGCAGGAUGUGCACUUCAUGAAGCGCUACCCCAAGGGGCAGGCAGAGCUGCAGAAGCCCUUCAAGUACACGACGGUGACCAAGCGGUCUCGGAGGAUCCGCCCCACACACCCUGGCUAGGCCGAGGCCCGAGGCCCCCCGGACCCACUCACACUCCCCGAGAACGGCAUCAGAGGAAUAUUUUUACACGAAAAAUAAGGAAGAAGCUCUAUUUUUGUACAUUUGUGUUUAAAAGAAGACAAAAAAAAACAAAAAACUGAACCAAAACUCUUGGGGGGAGGGGCGAUGGGAUUUUACUGUUGACUUGAAACCCCCGGUGACAAGACUCACGCAGAGGACUGCUGUCAGCCCACGGGUGCCUGCCCCUCUCGCUGCAGGAGUGCAGCUCUAACUUGUCCCCAGAGGACUCAACGAGGGAGCCGACACUCCGAGAAACCAAAGUUCUUUUUCCCAAAGGUUCUGAAAGCAAAGAAAGAAGGAAAAGAAUAAAGAAAAAAAAAAAAAAAAGAGAGAAAGUAGGGCCCCUUCCCACAACGUCCCCAUGUCCCCAGCCCAGCCCUGCCCAGACUCAACAAAAAUCGCUCUCUGGUUUGCAGUCAGUUAUUUAUUGUCUGCUGUCCCGAGACACCGCGCAGGGGAGGCGCCCAGCGCUCCGCGCCCGACUCCGACGACAGACGGCCUCGUCCAGCCGCGGCGCCCUGCGCGUGCGCGGUGCUGGAGGACGCUGCUGUGGACCUUCUCGCUCACGUGACUAGUACACCAAUGAUAAGGGGAUACUUUAAAACCAGCUAUAUUAUAUAUAUAUUAUAUAUAUAAGCUAUUUAUUUCACCUCUCUGUAUAUUGCAGUUUCAUGAACAAGUAU
This 938-nucleotide long non-coding RNA is filed under the name Marmota monax (woodchuck). Lineage: Eukaryota; Metazoa; Chordata; Mammalia; Rodentia; Sciuridae. The record is from RNAcentral.